GUUAAUAUUCAGAUGCCAUUGGUGAUGAAUACCAUUACAUUUUUAAUUGUUCAGCUUUCGAUAAUUGUAGAAAACAAUGUAUUGCAUUUUACAAUAGAAAUAGAACAAACACAUUGAAGUUUUCUGACUUAAUGAAUUCCCCAAAAUGUACAGAACUGAACGAACUUUGUAAACUUAUAAAGGAGAUCAAUAACAAAUUGGACUUUUC
This 208-nucleotide long non-coding RNA is filed under the name Mytilus galloprovincialis (Mediterranean mussel). The record is from RNAcentral. Lineage: Eukaryota; Metazoa; Mollusca; Bivalvia; Mytilida; Mytilidae.